Molecule: ribosomal RNA, 482 nt
Filed under: uncultured bacterium
Lineage: Bacteria
Description: bacterial SSU rRNA
Rfam family: Bacterial small subunit ribosomal RNA
Source: RNAcentral
GAGUUUGAUCCUGGCUCAGAUUGAACGCUGGCGGCAGGCCUAACACAUGCAAGUCGAACGGUAACAGAAAGCAGCUUGCUGCUUUGCUGACGAGUGGCGGACGGGUGAGUAAUGUCUGGGAAACUGCCUGAUGGAGGGGGAUAACUACUGGAAACGGUAGCUAAUACCGCAUAACGUCGCAAGACCAAAGAGGGGGACCUUCGGGCCUCUUGCCAUCGGAUGUGCCCAGAUGGGAUUAGCUUGUUGGUGGGGUAACGGCUCACCAAGGCGACGAUCUCUAGCUGGUCUGAGAGGAUGACCAGCCACACUGGAACUGGGACACGGUCCAGACUCCUACGGGAGGCAGCAGUGGGGAAUAUUGCACAAUGGGCGCAAGCCUGAUGCAGCCAUGCCGCGUGUAUGAAGAAGGCCUUCGGGUUGUAAAGUACUUUCAGCGGGGAGGAAGGGAGUAAAGUUAAUACCUUUGCUCAUUGACGUUACCC